GAAGAAGGCCAGAUGAUCGCUCUCCGCUCCCAGGCGGGGGGAGGAAAGUCCGGGCUCCAAAGAGCAGGGUGCUGGAUAACGUCCAGUGGGGGUGACCCUAAGGAAAGUGCCACAGAAAACAAACCGCCGGGGCAGCGCGCGGCAUGGCUUACGAGCGCGCAGGUCGCCUCGGUAAGGGUGAAACGGUGCGGUAAGAGCGCACCAAUCCCGGUGGGGACAUCGGGAUUCGGCAAACCCCACCCGGUGCAAGACCAAAUAGGGAGGCGUUCCCGGCCCCGAUUCAUCGAUACUGGGUGGGUCGAGGUGGGAGACAGGUUGCUCGCCUGAAGUCUCCGGGUUCGGUCGCUUGAGGCGGUCGGCAACGCCCGCCCCAGAGGAAUGAUCAUCACCGCCCGGUGUUUGGGCGGGACAGAACCCGGCUUACGGCCUCCUUCUUCC
RNAcentral lists this RNase P RNA (438 nucleotides) under Candidatus Tectimicrobiota bacterium. Its description in RNAcentral is "RNase P RNA component class A". It matches the Rfam family "Bacterial RNase P class A". From Rfam's summary of the family: Ribonuclease P (RNase P) is a ubiquitous endoribonuclease, found in archaea, bacteria and eukarya as well as chloroplasts and mitochondria. Its best characterised activity is the generation of mature 5'-ends of tRNAs by cleaving the 5'-leader elements of precursor-tRNAs. The record is from RNAcentral. Lineage: Bacteria; Pseudomonadati; Candidatus Tectimicrobiota.